Molecule: non-coding RNA, 48 nt
Filed under: Trypanosoma brucei brucei
Lineage: Eukaryota; Euglenozoa; Kinetoplastea; Trypanosomatida; Trypanosomatidae
Source: RNAcentral
AUAGAACCAAAAACAGUGCAAUUUAGUGUGAUAGAUGAUAGUGUAAAA